RNAcentral lists this ribosomal RNA (419 nucleotides) under bacterium. RNAcentral's name for it is "partial 16S ribosomal RNA". It matches the Rfam family "Bacterial small subunit ribosomal RNA", at positions 355 to 776 of the family's 1533-position model. The record is from RNAcentral.
UGGGGGAUAUUGCACAAUGGGCGAAAGCCUGAUGCAGCGACGCCGCGUGGGGGAUGAAGGCCUUCGGGUUGUAAACUUCUUUUGCUCUGAACAAGGCAUGCUAAUGGGUGUGUUGAGUGUAGGGGUUGAUUAGCGCCGGCUAACUACGUGCCAGCAGCCGCGGUAAUACGUAGGGCGCGAGCGUUGUCCGGAAUUAUUGGGCGUAAAGGGCUUGUAGGUGGCUGGUUGCGUCUGUCGUGAAAGCUCAUGGCUUAACUGUGGGUUUGCGGUGGGUACGGGCUGGCUUGAGUGCAGUAGGGGAGGCUGGAAUUCCUGGUGUAGCGGUGGAAUGCGCAGAUAUCAGGAGGAAUACCGGUGGCGAAGGCGGGUCUCUGGGCUGUUACUGACACUGAGGAGCGAAAGCUUGGGGAGCGAACAGG